Molecule: ribosomal RNA, 253 nt
Filed under: uncultured bacterium
Lineage: Bacteria
Description: partial 16S ribosomal RNA
Rfam family: Bacterial small subunit ribosomal RNA
Source: RNAcentral
UACGUAGGGGGCAAGCGUUGUCCGGAAUCAUUGGGCGUAAAGAGCGUGUAGGCGGCCCGAUAAGUCCGCUGUGAAAGUCCAGGGCUCAACCCUGGGAUGCCGGUGGAUACUGUCGGGCUCGAGUCCGGAAGAGGAGUGUGGAAUUCCUGGUGUAGCGGUGAAAUGCGCAGAGAUCGGGAGGAACACCCGUAGCGAAGGCGGCACUCUGGGCCGAUACUGACGCUGAGGAGCGAAAGCGUGGGGAGCGAACAGG